GCGGACGGGUGAGUAACGCGUGGGAACGUACCCAUUGGUGGAGAAUAACCUGCCGAAAGGUGGGCUAAUUCUGCAUAAUCCCGCAAGGGAAAAGGGCUUAACCGCCCGCCGAUGGAGCGGCCUGCGUCUUAUCAGCUUGUUGGUAGGGUAAAGGCCUACCAAGGCUAUGACGAGUAGCUGGACUGAGAGGUCGGUCAGCCACAAGGGAACUGAGACACGGUCCCUACACCUACGGGUGGCAGCAAUCGGGAAUUUUGGACAAUGGGCGAAAGCCUGAUCCAGCGACGCCGCGUGGGGGAAGAAGGCCUUCGGGUUGUAAACUCCUUUUGGCCCGCAUAAUGCGGGGCAGAAUAAGCACCUGCCAACUACGUGCCAGCAGCCGCGGUGAUACGUAGGGUGCAAGCGUUAUCCGGAUUUACUGGGCGUAAAGGGUUGCGUAGGCGGCAUGUUAAGUCAAUGUUCAAAUACUUCCGCUUAACGGAAGAAAGGGCGUUGAUACUGGUAUGCUUUUGAGGCUCACAGAGGUAGCCGGAACUUGCAGUGGAGCGGUGAAAUGCGUUGAGAUUGCAAGGAACACCGAUGGCGUAGGCAGGCUACUGGGUGAGAUCUGACGCUGAUGCACGAAAGCUAGGGGAGCGAAGCGGAUUAGAGACCCGCGUAGUCCUAGCCGUAAACGAUGGACACUAGAUGACUGUCCCGCCGAAGGCGGGAAAUUAAACGAUGGACACUAGCUGGCUGCCUUAUGGUGGCUGGCGCAAGCUAACGCGUUAAGUGUCCCGCCUGGGGAGUACGGCCGCAAGGCUAAAACUCAAAGGAAUUGACGGGGACCCGCACAAGCGGUGGAGCAUGUGGUUUAAUUCGAAACAAAGCGAAAAACCUUACCAGGGUUUGACAUCCUAACUGCACUCCUUUGGAAACAAAGGAUUUCUUCGAGAGUGUUAGGACAGGUGCUGCAUGGCUGUCGUCAGCUUGUACCGUGAGGCGCACCCUUAAGUGGGUUAACAAGCGCAACCCCCAUCCCCCAUGUUAAAUUUCAUGGGAAACUGCCCGCUAAAAGCGUGGAGGAAGGUGGGGAUGACGUCAAGUCAGCACGGCCCUUAUGUCCUGGGCUACACACAUCCUACAAUGGGUGUUAACAACGGGUUGCAACUUNNNNCAAGGUGAAGCUAAUCCCUUAAAAGCAUCCUCAGUUCGGAUUGAGGGCUGCAAUUUGCCCUCAUGAAGCUGAAAUCGCUAGUAAUCGCGGAUCAGCAGGCCGCGGUGAAUACGUUCUCAGGUCUUGUACACACC
Molecule: ribosomal RNA, 1290 nt
Filed under: uncultured bacterium
Lineage: Bacteria
Description: bacterial SSU rRNA
Rfam family: Bacterial small subunit ribosomal RNA
Source: RNAcentral